RNAcentral lists this long non-coding RNA (1071 nucleotides) under Physcomitrium patens. RNAcentral's name for it is "long non-coding RNA (PPAT_LNC006742)". The record is from RNAcentral. Lineage: Eukaryota; Viridiplantae; Streptophyta; Bryopsida; Funariales; Funariaceae.
CUACAUGGCCAAUUUGUACCAAAAGUUAUGAACAUUUACAACACAUGGUUAAUUUAUCGACCAAGUUUUUAACCUACCAAUUACCAACAAACAUGUCUAAUGUCAAAUUUGUAUCUACAAAGCUUCUGACAAGUUUUUUCAUAAGAUAUUAUCAAAUUUAUUUAAGUAUAUUAUUUCUAUUUAAAUCCUUUAAUCCAGAUAAGUAUGUAUGUCGAUGACAUCUUAUUAAGUUGAACCUUCAUACAUAUCACCAACAAUCUCAAUUUCAUCCUCUUUAUCAUUACCAAUUCAAUUACACCUCCACCUCUACAUUCAUACUCUAUUCAUUGCACCAUCUUUAGUUUUGCAUCCCACCACCUCCACAUCUUCUCAUCUUAUAGAUGUACUCUGCCUCAAACAAGAGCAACUUACAUACAUUUAAAACAAAAAUAUAAGUUUUCUUGCUCUUCAUGCCCAUUUCUAAAGGCUGGAAUUCAUAGGGUCUUGUAUUGUGACUACCUUAUCUUUUAAUAAGUAUACCUUUGAAUUGCAUUACCAUACAUUAUUUUAGUUUUUUUGCAUAAAUUUAAAAAAUAAUCAUCUAUAGAGGUUAUAAAUUAAGUCAAAUACUUUUGGAAAUAGACUGUAACUUCACAUCAAGAAAGAAAGCCAUAGAGUGAAAGAAAAAGAUUGUGUGUGUGUAUAUAUAUAUAUAUAUAAAUGUGUAUUCACCAUACACAAACCAGAACUGUAGAUGCAGAAUGGACUCUUAACUUGCACAACUUGGUUGUAAGGCUGCCGUAGAGGUGUCGGCAUUCGUUGACUUCUGUCAAUGCACAACCCUCAAAGACCACAGCCAGGCCAAUUCGAGAGUUGGCAUUCGAGUUUCCAUAGUUGAUUCUAAUCUCAUGUCCUUAGAUUUGCACCUGUCAUCACUUUGUGGUGUCAGUGAGCUAAAUCUCACGUCGGUGGAGCUUGGUGUGAAAUCAGACAGCAACGGUGACAAAUGUGGAUUUAGGUUUGCAGGAGAGGGAGUGCUAGUAGGUCGAGGAGAAAUCAAGGAUGACUCUGUAGCUUGGAGCUCCAACGUAU